This 713-nucleotide ribosomal RNA is filed under the name Anophryoides haemophila. Its description in RNAcentral is "partial Bacterial small subunit ribosomal RNA". It matches the Rfam family "Bacterial small subunit ribosomal RNA", at positions 1 to 732 of the family's 1533-position model. Lineage: Eukaryota; Ciliophora; Oligohymenophorea; Philasterida; Glauconematidae. The record is from RNAcentral.
AUGGAGAGUUUGAUCCUGGCUCAGGAUGAACGCUAGCGGCAGGCCUAAUACAUGCAAGUCGAACGGUAACAGGACCAGCAAUGGUCGCUGACGAGUGGCGCACGGGUGCGUAACACGUAUGCAAUCUACCUUUAACUGGAGAAUAGCCCCGAGAAAUCGGGAUUAAUACUCCAUAAUAUUAUGAAGUGGCAUCACUUUAUAAUUAAAGCUCAGGCGGUUAAAGAUGAGCAUGCGCGAUAUUAGCUAGUUGGUGAGGUAACGGCUCACCAAGGCUACGAUAUCUAGGGGAUCUGAGAGGAUUUACCCCCACACUGGUACUGAGACACGGACCAGACUCCUACGGGAGGCAGCAGUAAGGAAUAUUGGACAAUGGGCGCAAGCCUGAUCCAGCCAUGCCGCGUGAGUGAUGAAGGCCCUAGGGUUGUAAAGCUCUUUUGUGCGGGAAGAUAAUGACGGUACCGCAAGAAUAAGCCCCGGCUAACUUCGUGCCAGCAGCCGCGGUAAUACGAAGGGGGCUAGCGUUGCUCGGAAUCACUGGGCGUAAAGGGUGCGUAGGCGGGUCUUUAAGUCAGGGGUGAAAUCCUGGAGCUCAACUCCAGAACUGCCUUUGAUACUGAAGAUCUUGAGUUCGGGAGAGGUGAGUGGAACUGCGAGUGUAGAGGUGAAAUUCGUAGAUAUUCGGAAGAACACCAGUGGCGAAGGCGGCUCACUGG